RNAcentral lists this ribosomal RNA (312 nucleotides) under Triticum aestivum (bread wheat). RNAcentral's name for it is "partial small subunit ribosomal RNA". Lineage: Eukaryota; Viridiplantae; Streptophyta; Magnoliopsida; Poales; Poaceae. The record is from RNAcentral.
AUGUCUGGGCGCGACAAGGGCGGCAAGGGGCUGGGCAAGGGCGGCGCCAAGCGGCACCGGAAGGUCCUCCGCGACAACAUCCAGGGCAUCACCAAGCCGGCGAUCCGGAGGCUGGCCAGGAGGGGCGGCGUGAAGCGCAUCUCCGGCCUCAUCUACGAGGAGACCCGCGGCGUCCUCAAGAUCUUCCUCGAGAACGUCAUCCGCGACGCCGUCACCUACACCGAGCACGCCCGCCGCAAAACCGUCACCGCCAUGGACGUCGUCUACGCGCUCAAGCGCCAGGGCCGCACCCUCUACGGCUUCGGAGGCUAG